This 3328-nucleotide ribosomal RNA is filed under the name Candidatus Roizmanbacteria bacterium RIFCSPHIGHO2_01_FULL_37_16. Its description in RNAcentral is "bacterial LSU rRNA". It matches the Rfam family "Bacterial large subunit ribosomal RNA". The record is from RNAcentral. Lineage: Bacteria; Candidatus Roizmaniibacteriota.
AUGGUGGAUGCCUAGGUAGUUUAAGCCGAAGAAGGACGCGUGUUUGAGCGCGAAAACAACGGUUAGUCCUCUAACAGACAUUACCAACCGUUGGUUUCCGAAUGGGGCAACCCCGCCCUGCGCAAGCAGGGUGAACCUGUAUUACACGAGGAAAUUAUAAUAAUCAAAUACUACAAAUUGCUCAAAUAAGCAAAUAAAUCAAUAAAUGAAAAAAUGAUUUAAUAAUUUAAUUCCUUAAAAUAUUCAAACAUUUAUUUGUAAUAUUUAUCGGAUUUGUUUAUUUGUAGUAUUAAUUUGAUUUUCUAGUGUAGUACAGGUGGGGAACCUGGUGAACUGAAACAUCUAAGUAGCCAGAGGAAAAUAAAACAUAUGUGAUUUCGUUAGUAGCGGCGAGCGAAAGCGAAACAGUCUAAACCUCUUGUGCGUGGCACUAGAGUUAUUUAGUAAAUUUAGUGAUGAGUGACUUAGCGAAAAACUAAGCAACUAAUUAACUUAAAACUAAUAACUCUCGUGCUGCGUAUGAGAGGUGUUGCAGGGCAGAUAAUAUGGGAUUGGUUGCGGAUAGGAGAAUGAUCUGGAAAGAUCAAUCAUAGAAAGUGAUAAUCUUGUAUCCUAAAUCUAAAACCACCUUAUUCUGUUCCUAAGUACCACGAGUCACGGCAAACCUUGUGGGAAUCCGGGUCGGUCACGAUCCAAGACUAAACACUUAAACUGACCGAUAGUGAACUAGUACCGUGAGGGAAAGGUGAAAAGUCCCCCGAGAGGGGAGUGAAAUAGAACCUGAAACCAUUAGCUAACAAACAGGCAGAACAUCUCGUUUCCACUCAAUGCUCUUAAGAUAAAAAGUAAAAUCUAAAAAGUAAAAAAUAUUUAAAAAACUUUUUAUAUAUUAUUUUUAAAAUUUUAAAUUGGAGCACCGAGUGGAGACGAGGUGCGAUGCCGUGCCUAUUGAAGAAUGAGCCAGCGAGUUCCCGCUUAGUGUUUUGCUUAACCCCGAAUUAUUCGUGGGAAGGCAGAGGGAAACCAAGUCCUAAUAGGGCGAUUUUAUACUUAGCGGGAGACCCGAAACUGGAUGAGCUAACCAUGAGCAGGGUGAACUCCGAUCACAAUCGGAGGAAGGCCCGUACCCGUUGUUGGUGAAAUAACAUGGGACGACUUGUGGUUAGAGGUUAUAUGCCUAUCGAAUCCAGAGAUAGCUGGUUCUCCCCGAAAUAUAUUUAGGUAUAGCCUUCCGGUAAUUUUUUGCGGGAUAGAGCUACUAGAUGUCCCACCAAGCGAAAGCAAGGCGGGACAACUAAACUCCGAAUACGCAAAUAUUUUACGGAGGAGUCAGUCUCGCCGGGAUAAGCCGGUGCAGGCGAAAGGGAAACAUCCCAGAUUCCCGUUUAAGGUUCUCAAAUGUUUUUUAAGUGGAAAAGGCCGUUGAAUUUCCAACACAGUAGGGAGGUUGGCUCAGAAGCAGCCAUCCUUUAAAGAGUGCGUAACAGCUCACCUAAAUAACCCUCCGAUUCGGAGGGGAAAUUCUGCGCUUAAAAUGAUCGGAGCUAAAAAAACUACCGAAAACGGAGACUUGUGCGUAGCACAAGGCAGUUCUUAAAGUUCGUAAAGUAAAAAGUUCGUAAAGUUAAAUUGUGAAAACCAAUUUUCUUUAUAAACUUUAAAAACUUUAUAACUUUAUAACUUCCUCGCGCUGCGCACGAGUGGUAGGGGAGCGUCCGCCGCGCAGUGAAGCAAAAUUGUAAGAUUUUGUGGAGCGCUGGCGGAGCGAGAAUGCUGGCAUAAGUAGUGUAUCUCUCGAUGAAAACUCGAGAUGCCGAAAAUCCAAGGUUUCCUCAGCAAUGUCAAUCAUCUGAGGGUUAGUCGGAUCUAACUCCUCACCAGUUUUGGUGAGGGGGAUGUAUAAGCAGUUAAAAUUCUGCUACUUAUAUUCAUUCGUUAUUACUUACACGCUAACGAAAUUUGAUAUUCUGCCCCUUCUAUUUGAAGGGUCAAGUUAUAAACUGUCUCGCAAGAUUCAGCGAGUAACAAAUACAACUCUGAUGUAAUGUCGGGGGAGGCGGAAGACUUAAGUUCCCAAGAAAAAGCGUGUCAGGAGAAUGUGUAUAAUCCGUACCGAUAACCGACACUGGUGGAUUGGUAGAGUAUACCCAGGCAUACGGACAAUAAUGAUUCAAGGAACUCGGCAAAAAAGCUGGACGUAACUUAUUGGAUAUGUCCUCCCCGAUUUAAUCGGGGUACAACAAAUGAUUGUCAACCGACUGUUUAGCAAAAACACAGGCUCCUGCUAACCUGAAUAAGGGAUGUAUAGGAGCUGAAACCUGUCCGGUACUGGUAAGUCAAUCGCUGCGGCUAACUCUAAGCAAUUAGUGAAGGCUGCGGUGCAAGCUCCAGUGAACGACAGCUCUAACCCUGAGAGUUCUAAGGUAGCGUAACCCCUUGCCGGGUAAGUUCCGGCCCGCAUGAAAGGUCUAACGAGUUGACAGCUGUCUUGAAUCAUUUUCCGACGAAAUUGAAAUGGCUGUGAAGAUGCGGCCUACCUACACCUGGACAAAAAGACCCCGAGAGCUUAACUGAAACUAGGCAUUGGUGGGAAGAGACGAACUGUUGAGAGUAGGAGGGAGUCUUCGGACAACGAUGAAACACCUCUCUUUUGUUUUUUUUCACCUUACCGCGUCUGACGCGGAACAGUACUUGGUGGUCAGUUUAACUGGGGCGGUUUCCUCCAAAAGAGUAACGGAGGAGCGCAACGGUCAGCUUAUCCCGCAUAGAAAUCGGGAUGGAAGUGCAAACGCAAAAGCUGGCCUAACUGUGAGGAUGACUAUCCUAGCAGAGACGAAAGUCGGCGUUAGUGAUCCUCGGUCCCGCCGUGAUGGCGGACCGGGCUUAACGGAUAAAAGCUACCUCGGGGAUAACAGGCUAGUCGCGUCCGAGAGUUCAUAUCGACGACGCGGUUCGGCACCUCGAUGUCGGCUCAUCGCAUCCUGGGGCUGUAGUCGGUCCCAAUGGUCGGGCUGUUCGCCCGUUAAAGCGGUACGUGAGCUGGGUUCAGAACGUCGUGAGACAGUUCGGACUCUAUCCGGUGUAGGCGUAUAGAAUUUUGCAGAGAAUCUUCUACAGUACGAGAGGACCUAGAAGAAGAGAUCCCUGGUCUACCGGUUGUUCUAAUCGAGCAUCGCCGGGUAGCUAUAUCUCUAAUUGAUAAACACUGAAUGCAUAUCAAGUGUGAAGCAAACUCUAAGAUUAAAAUUCCCUAUAGCUUUCCCGAAGAAUACGGGAUUAAUAGGCGUCAGGCGUAAGCUUCGUAAGGAGUUUAACCGAGACGUACUAA